AUAAUUAUUUGGAAACAAAUAAAUUUCUUGUACCUGAGUUACGAAACACUCCAACACUGCAUUUCUCAAAGGUAAUCACCACAAAACUAAGAAAAUACAGAGGGUACUUGGUCAUAUUGCCAAGCAUAUAAAUGUUUGUCAAAAUCAGGAAUAAAGAGCAUAAACAGAAAAUAAAUAAAUAAACAAGUGAGAAAUUUCUUCUACCCAUCUUUGCAAAUACUACUAAAAUGCAUAUUUUUUCAAAGAAAGCACAACAACACCAACAAAGAUAAUGGGAUGACCAAUAAAAUUGCAGUUAAGCAGAAAUUUUCUCAAAACCAGAACUGUAGACAAAGACAAAGCAGAAACUAACAUAAAAAAUGGGAAAUUUCAAGCACCCACCACAGAAAAUCG
RNAcentral lists this long non-coding RNA (393 nucleotides) under Vitis vinifera (wine grape). RNAcentral describes it as "long non-coding RNA (VVIN_LNC005314)". Lineage: Eukaryota; Viridiplantae; Streptophyta; Magnoliopsida; Vitales; Vitaceae. The record is from RNAcentral.